UCCUGGUGGGGACGUGCUAGUUUUGGAUACGGCUUGUUUAUCCCUGGCAAAUCUUAUGUUAAAACUUGUGGUGGUGUUGGGAGGGAAAACCUAGUGGGAGAUGCUUAGGUCAUCAUCAAUGGCUUGGUGCAGUUCUUUCAGCAGUAAAUUCUUGCUCUAGUGGGACAGGAUUAGUACUCAUGAGACUGAAUUAGUUCCUGAUACAGUGAGUUGUUAUAAAACCAAGACAACCAUUGUGAAACUGCCUUUGCAAAGAUUAUGACGUGAGAGAAGUCUGGCAUGGCCGCCUCCGUCUUGCCUCUAGCAUCACAGGCUGGCUGUCUCCGCUCAUUCCUGGGCAUGGACGAAGCUAACCAUGAGAAGAAUUUAGUUUACAGUUUAAUUGUGAAGCAAGGAUAAUAAUAGUCGCUUCCUAAAACUGAUCCGCUCCUUGUUUGGAGACUGAAACAGUCUUUGUAAGACAAUGAAAGGUCACAAGAUUAGUAUUCUGAGAGGGGCCUGAAUUCUGCUAAAAUGUUGCUAACUUUGGAGGAAGCCAGCUGCCAUGUCACAAAAAGAUUCAGGAAGCCAUGUGGAGAGGCCCACAUCAUGAGGAACUGAGGUCUUUGCCAAUUACCAGCAAGGAAAUGAGGCCUCCUGCCAACAGCCACAGUGGACCUUGAAGAUUGUCUGAUUGCAACCAGAACCACCCAAGAGGCAGUGAAGGCCCUAGAACUGGAGCAAGCAUGAAGAGAAAACCGAAUUGAUCAAAGCUGUGUCUGCACCUAUGCUGUAUAAUAGACUUCUGUGGGUUAACUUCAAUGAUUUGCAGUUCAUUUUUUAAAUCUAUCUCUAGCUCAUCUUCAUGAUUAAAUUUACCCAAGCAUCCUUUAAGCCAAUGUACUUACAAAACAGAAAAGAAUAUCAUUUACUGGAAACAGAAAAGUAAAGAUAGGAAUGACAACAAUGUCU
This 951-nucleotide long non-coding RNA is filed under the name Homo sapiens (human). RNAcentral describes it as "HSALNT0359227". The record is from RNAcentral. Lineage: Eukaryota; Metazoa; Chordata; Mammalia; Primates; Hominidae.